This is a long non-coding RNA of Papilio xuthus (Asian swallowtail), 406 nucleotides long. RefSeq lists it as uncharacterized. Lineage: Eukaryota; Metazoa; Arthropoda; Insecta; Lepidoptera; Papilionidae. The record is from RefSeq and is a predicted model, not a curated record. The transcript has 3 exons.
CCGGCUGCGCCGCCAGCUCGCCCGCAUCACCUCCGCCGGCGCGUCUCGUGUCGUGCUCGCCGGACUCUCCAAUGUCUACGCCGACUACAUCGCCACGCCUGAAGAGUAUCAGGCACAGCGGUACGAAGCAGCGUCCACAAUAUUUGGACCUCACACACUCGACAUCUACCUCAACAAGUACGUCGAGCUCACUCGUGCACUAUUUGAGGGCAGGUCAGUGGACCCUGGCCCGCAGCCGCCAGACUUCAGUGACCAGCUGAUCACCCUGGUGCCGCCAGUGUUGUGGGACGCCGCACCCUGGGGCAAGGAGUUCGGGGACUGUCUCGUCCAGCCACAGAAGCAGUACAGCCAUGGAGACACCGUCACUGCUACUUUUGUAAGAGUUUUUUUUUGUUAGGCAACAGUU